RNAcentral lists this transfer RNA (90 nucleotides) under Paludibacterium paludis. RNAcentral's name for it is "tRNA-Ser". It matches the Rfam family "tRNA". Rfam says of the family: Transfer RNA (tRNA) molecules are approximately 80 nucleotides in length. Their secondary structure includes four short double-helical elements and three loops (D, anti-codon, and T loops). Lineage: Bacteria; Pseudomonadati; Pseudomonadota; Betaproteobacteria; Neisseriales; Chromobacteriaceae. The record is from RNAcentral.
GGAGAGGUGCCGGAGAGGCUAAACGGCCCUGACUCGAAAUCAGUGGGUGGAGCAAUCCACACGGGGGUUCGAAUCCCCCCCUCUCCGCCA